RNAcentral lists this unclassified non-coding RNA (302 nucleotides) under plant metagenome. RNAcentral describes it as "partial contains small subunit ribosomal RNA, internal transcribed spacer 1, and 5.8S ribosomal RNA". The record is from RNAcentral.
UUUCCGUAGGUGAACCUGCGGAAGGAUCAUUAUUGAAUGAACUUGGCGUGGUUGUCGUUGGCCCUCUAGGGGGUAUGUGCACGCCCGUCAUCUUUAUCUUUCCACCUGUGCACACUUUGCAGAUUUGGAUAGUACUUUCCGAGGCAACUCGGUCGAGAGGACUUGCUGUGCUUUAAUGUCAGCUCUCCUUGCAUUAUCCAGGCCUAUGUUUUCAUAUACCCCAAAGAAUGUAACAUAAUGUAUUAUUGAGCCUUGUGCCUAUAAACUAUAUACAACUUUCAGCAACGGAUCUCUUGGCUCUC